RNAcentral lists this ribosomal RNA (542 nucleotides) under uncultured bacterium. RNAcentral describes it as "bacterial SSU rRNA". It matches the Rfam family "Bacterial small subunit ribosomal RNA", at positions 775 to 1317 of the family's 1533-position model. The record is from RNAcentral.
AGUCAAUAGAUACCCAGGUAGUCCAUGCCGUAAACGAUGAUUGCUAGGUGUGGGGGGUCUGACCCCUUCCGUGCCGGAGUUAAACACAAUAAGCAAUCCACCUGGGGAGUACGGCCGCAAGGUUGAAACUCAAAGGAAUUGACGGGGGCCCGCACAAGCAGUGGAGUAUGUGGUUUAAAUUCGAAGCAACGCGAAGAACCUUACUAGGUCUUGACAUCCACCGAAUCCUGUAGAGAUACGGGAGUGCCCUUCGGGGAACGGUGAGACAGGUGGUGCAUGGUUGUCGUCAGCUCGUGUCGUGAGAUGUUGGGUUAAGUCCCGCAACGAGCGCAACCCUUGUGAAUAGUUGCUACGAAAGAGCACUCUAUUCAGACCGCCGUUGACAAAACGGAGGAAGGUGGGGAUGACGUCAAAUCAUCAUGCCCCUUAUGACCUGGGCUACACACGUACUACAAUGGCCGUUAACAGAGGGAUGCAAUGCCGCGAGGUGGAGCGAACCCCUAAAAACGGUCUCAGUUCAGAUUGCAGGCUGAAACUCGCCU